GACAUACCACCCUGAACAUACCAAUCUCAUCUGAUUUCUGAAGCUAAGUAGGGUCGGGCCUGGUUAGUACUUGGAUGGGAGGAAAUACUGACAGAAAUAUCA
Molecule: ribosomal RNA, 102 nt
Organism: Cavia aperea (Brazilian guinea pig)
Lineage: Eukaryota; Metazoa; Chordata; Mammalia; Rodentia; Caviidae
Source: Ensembl